GAUGAACGCUGGCGGCGUGCCUAAUACAUGCAAGUCGAGCGAACGGACGAGAAGCUUGCUUCUCUGAUGUUAGCGGCGGACGGGUGAGUAACACGUGGAUAACCUACCUAUAAGACUGGGAUAACUUCGGGAAACCGGAGCUAAUACCGGAUAAUAUUUUGAACCGCAUGGUUCAAAAGUGAAAGACGGUCUUGCUGUCACUUAUAGAUGGAUCCGCGCUGCAUUAGCUAGUUGGUAAGGUAACGGCUUACCAAGGCAACGAUGCAUAGCCGACCUGGGAGGGUGGCCGGCCUGAGUGGAACGACGGCCAGGUCCGGACUCCGACGGGGGGCAGCAGUAGGGGAUCUGCAGCAAUGGGCGAAAGCGUGCCGGAGCAGCGCGGCGUGAGUAAUGAAGGUCUUCGGAGCGUAAAGCUCUGUUAGUAGGGAAGAACAUUUGUGUAAGUAAAUGUGCACAUCGUGACGGUACCUAAUCAGAAAGCAACGGCUAACUACGUG
RNAcentral lists this ribosomal RNA (497 nucleotides) under uncultured bacterium. Its description in RNAcentral is "partial 16S ribosomal RNA". It matches the Rfam family "Bacterial small subunit ribosomal RNA", at positions 28 to 507 of the family's 1533-position model. The record is from RNAcentral.